CUACGGGAGGCUGCAGUGGGGAAUAUUGGACAAUGGGCGAAAGCCUGAUCCAGCCAUGCCGCGUGUGUGAAGAAGGCCUUCGGGUUGUAAAGCACUUUCAGUGGGGAAGAAAGCCUUGGGGCUAAUACCCUCGAGGAAGGACAUCACCCACAGAAGAAGCACCGGCUAACUCCGUGCCAGCAGCCGCGGUAAUACGGAGGGUGCGAGCGUUAAUCGGAAUUACUGGGCGUAAAGCGCGCGUAGGCGGUCUGAUAAGCCGGUUGUGAAAGCCCCGGGCUCAACCUGGGAACGGCAUCCGGAACUGUCAGGCUAGAGUGCAGGAGAGGAAGGUAGAAUUCCUGGUGUAGCGGUGAAAUGCGUAGAGAUCGGGAGGAAUACCAGUGGCGAAGGCGGCCUUCUGGACUGACACUGACGCUGAGGUGCGAAAGCGUGGGUAGCAAACAGGAUUAGAUACCCUGGUAGUC
This 464-nucleotide ribosomal RNA is filed under the name Vreelandella stevensii. Its description in RNAcentral is "partial 16S ribosomal RNA". It matches the Rfam family "Bacterial small subunit ribosomal RNA", at positions 339 to 795 of the family's 1533-position model. Lineage: Bacteria; Pseudomonadati; Pseudomonadota; Gammaproteobacteria; Oceanospirillales; Halomonadaceae. The record is from RNAcentral.